CCUACGGGAGGCAGCAGUGGGGAAUAUUGCACAAUGGGCGAAAGCCUGAUGCAGCGACGCCGCGUGAGGGAUGACGGCCUUCGGGUUGUAAACCUCUUUCAGCAGGGAAGAAGCGAAAGUGACGGUACCUGCAGAAGAAGCACCGGCUAACUACGUGCCAGCAGCCGCGGUAAUACGUAGGGUGCGAGCGUUGUCCGGAAUUAUUGGGCGUAAAGAGCUUGUAGGCGGUUUGUCGCGUCUGCUGUGAAAUUUCGGGGCUCAACCCCGAACUUGCAGUGGGUACGGGCAGACUAGAGUGUGGUAGGGGAGACUGGAAUUCCUGGUGUAGCGGUGAAAUGCGCAGAUAUCAGGAGGAACACCGAUGGCGAAGGCAGGUCUCUGGGCCACUACUGACGCUGAGAAGCGAAAGCAUGGGGAGCGAACAGGAUUAGAUACCCUUG
RNAcentral lists this ribosomal RNA (440 nucleotides) under uncultured bacterium. RNAcentral describes it as "bacterial SSU rRNA". It matches the Rfam family "Bacterial small subunit ribosomal RNA", at positions 338 to 790 of the family's 1533-position model. The record is from RNAcentral.